This is a non-coding RNA of Lentinula boryana, 74 nucleotides long. The record is from the annotation of a GenBank genome assembly. Lineage: Eukaryota; Fungi; Basidiomycota; Agaricomycetes; Agaricales; Omphalotaceae.
AGUCCAGUGGUGAAAUUGGUUAUCGCCCUUGAUCAACAUUCAAGUGGUCCUGGGUUCAAAUCCUAUCUGGGCCA